AGUGAACGCUGGCGGUAGGCCUAACACAUGCAAGUCGAACGGCAGCACAGUAAGAGCUUGCUCUUACGGGUGGCGAGUGGCGGACGGGUGAGGAAUACAUCGGAAUCUACUUUUUCGUGGGGGAUAACGUAGGGAAACUUACGCUAAUACCGCAUACGACCUACGGGUGAAAGCAGGGGAUCUUCGGACCUUGCGCGAUUGAAAGAGCCGAUGUCGGAUUAGCUAGUUGGCGGGGUAAAGGCCCACCAAGGCGACGAUCCGUAGCUGGUCUGAGAGGAUGAUCAGCCACACUGGAACUGAGACACGGUCCAGACUCCUACGGGAGGCAGCAGUGGGGAAUAUUGGACAAUGGGCGCAAGCCUGAUCCAGCCAUACCGCGUGGGUGAAGAAGGCCUUCGGGUUGUAAAGCCCUUUUGUUGGGAAAGAAAAGCAGCAGGUUAAUACCCCGCUGUUCCGACGGUACCCAAAGAAUAAGCACCGGCUAACUUCGUG
Molecule: ribosomal RNA, 492 nt
Filed under: uncultured bacterium
Lineage: Bacteria
Description: partial 16S ribosomal RNA
Rfam family: Bacterial small subunit ribosomal RNA
Source: RNAcentral